UUUAAGUCAAAGUCAUUAUGAGAUCAUCUGAAUCCACAAUAUUGCUGGUACUGAGGAACUGAAAAGUCAGGGAAUGCUCACUAGACAGAAUGCAGUCUAGAUGGCUGGCUGGGAAGCCAUUAGAAAUAGAUAUUUUAAAGUAUCUUUUGAUGAGAAAGAAAAGAAAAGAAAAGAAAAGAAAAGAAAAGAAAAGAAAAGAA
Non-coding RNA from Pelodiscus sinensis (Chinese soft-shelled turtle), 200 nucleotides. The record is from RefSeq and is a predicted model, not a curated record. NCBI's taxonomy places the organism in Eukaryota, Metazoa, Chordata, Testudines, Trionychidae.